GUAGAUGUAGCUCAGUUGGAUAGAGCGCUCGCUCUCGAUUUGGGACCGAGUGGUCGCAGGUUCAAAUCCUGCCAUCUGCACCA
This 83-nucleotide transfer RNA is filed under the name Gemmatimonadales bacterium. Its description in RNAcentral is "tRNA-Pro". It matches the Rfam family "tRNA". Rfam says of the family: Transfer RNA (tRNA) molecules are approximately 80 nucleotides in length. Their secondary structure includes four short double-helical elements and three loops (D, anti-codon, and T loops). The record is from RNAcentral. Lineage: Bacteria; Pseudomonadati; Gemmatimonadota; Gemmatimonadia; Gemmatimonadales.